CCCGCACAAGCGGUGGAGCAUGUGGUUUAAUCGAUGCAACGCGAAGAACCUUACCUGGGCUUGACAUCCCGGGAAUCCCCUGACAACCCGAGAGAUCGGGCGUUCCCCUUCGGGGGGACAGGGUGACAGGUGGUGCAUGGUUGUCGUCAGCUCGUGUCGUGAGAUGUUGGGUUAAGUCCCGCAACGAGCGCAACCCUCGACCUUAGUUGCCAGCAUUCAGUUGGGCACUCUAAGGUGACUGCCGGCUAAAAGUCGGAGGAAGGUGGGAUGACGUCAAAUCAUCAUGCCCCUCAUGACCUGGGCUACACACGUGCUACAAUGGGCGGUACAAAGGGUCGCGAACCCGCGAGGGGGAGCCAAUCCCAAAAAGCCGCUCUCAGUUCGGAUUGCAGGCUGCAACUCGCCUGCAUGAAGCCGGAAUCGCUAGUAAUCGCGGAUCAGCAUGCCGCGGUGAAUACGUUCCCGGGCCUU
This 471-nucleotide ribosomal RNA is filed under the name uncultured Anoxybacillus sp. RNAcentral's name for it is "bacterial SSU rRNA". It matches the Rfam family "Bacterial small subunit ribosomal RNA", at positions 920 to 1382 of the family's 1533-position model. The record is from RNAcentral. Lineage: Bacteria; Bacillati; Bacillota; Bacilli; Caryophanales; Anoxybacillaceae.